RNAcentral lists this ribosomal RNA (330 nucleotides) under uncultured bacterium. RNAcentral's name for it is "bacterial SSU rRNA". It matches the Rfam family "Bacterial small subunit ribosomal RNA", at positions 568 to 898 of the family's 1533-position model. The record is from RNAcentral.
UGUGUAGGCGGUUCUCUAAGUUUGGUGUGAAAUCUCCCGGCUUAACCGGGAGGGUGCGCCGAAAACUGGGGAACUAGAGUGCGGGAGGGGAGAGUGGAAUUCCUGGUGUAGCGGUGAAAUGCGUAGAUAUCAGGAGGAACACCGGUGGUGUAGACGGCUCUCUGGACCGUAACUGACGCUGAGACACGAAAGCGUGGGUAGCAAACAGGAUUAGAUACCCUGGUAGUCCACGCCCUAAACGAUGCAUAUUUGGUGUAGGUCAUUCAGUUGAUCUGUGCCGGAGCUAACGCGUUAAAUAUGCCGCCUGGGGAGUACAGUCGCAAGGCUGAA